Molecule: small RNA, 107 nt
Filed under: Marmota monax (woodchuck)
Lineage: Eukaryota; Metazoa; Chordata; Mammalia; Rodentia; Sciuridae
Source: RNAcentral
GCUGGGUGUGGUGGCACAGGCCUGUAAUCCCAGCUACUCAGGAGUCCGAGGCAGGAGGAUGGCCAGUUUGAGGCCAGCCUGGGCAACACAGCAAGACCCUGUCUCAA